RNAcentral lists this unclassified non-coding RNA (401 nucleotides) under Hevea brasiliensis (rubber tree). The record is from RNAcentral. Lineage: Eukaryota; Viridiplantae; Streptophyta; Magnoliopsida; Malpighiales; Euphorbiaceae.
AUGGAACAGACUCUUUUUUCACUUCAUCGUCCACAUUCUUAGCAUCAUCCAUCACGAAGCUUUCUGCAUCAUUAGGCACCUGGGGUUCCUCUAAAAUUGUGCCAGGGGUUUCUAAUUGUUCUUUUGAAGAAGAAGAGCCAUCAAUCUGACCAUCUGGAACAAGGACUUUCUCAGAUGCAGUGACAGUUAAAUUUGAGGAGUCAGAUUCAUAAGAAGACUUUCCAGCAAAGAUCUUACGAGAAAACGGCUCCUUCUUCAAGAGGAAGGAAAGGCGAGAGGAGAUCCUUCGAUCGCCAUGGAAGCCGGUGGAUUGAGAUUUGUAAAGAGAAGGCGCACAAGGCCAACGUAUCCCUGAUACAGUAUAGUAUACCAUAUCGGUGAGAGGUUGGAGAGAGAAAUGG